UUCUGCUUGUGUUUGAUUUAUUGAUUUUAUUGGUAAUUAUUGAUCAUCGGGUUCCUGCUGGUGCUUCCUGUGGACAGACUCACCUGUAGGCAGCGGUACAGGUGUUUUUCACUCACCUGUGGGCAGCGGUACAGGUGUUUUUCACUCACCUGUAGGCAGCGGUACAGGUGUUUUUCACUCACCUGUGGGCAGCGGUACAGGUGUUCUUCACUCACCUGUGGGCAGCGGUACAGGUGUUUUUCACUCACCUGUAGGCAGCGGUACAGGUGUUUUUCACUCACCUGUGGGCAGCGGUACAGGUACGCUGGGCUGCUCCUGUCGUCCUCUCUGGAUCCGGACCGUCGCCCACUGCAGAGAAAACAAGAUGAACUGUGACUCGGUUGUUUCCUCACAGCUUCAGUUAAGAAACAAGGAAGAGUUCAAGUUUUCCCGAAGGACAGAAGUCUGGUUUGAAACCAGCAGCAGCUCUAGAACGACUUUCAUCUCCAGAAAAUCACAGAAAACAUAAUUUAUCUCCAUUCCUCUUUAUUCUCCAGGACCGACUCAGUUUCAGGUUGAACUGCAGGCAGUGCUUCCUCAGAGUAGACAGAAAAGUAAAGCGUGGUAGGUUACCUCCAGGAUUUUGACGAGGACCUGGAUGUAGACGCCGGUGACGCCCAGAGACAGGCCGAACAUGGCGGGCAGCAUGAUGAGGAAGACGACCACGAACAUCCACAGCUGGAAAACAGCUGCA
Long non-coding RNA from Acanthochromis polyacanthus (spiny chromis), 733 nucleotides. RefSeq lists it as uncharacterized. The record is from RefSeq and is a predicted model, not a curated record. Lineage: Eukaryota; Metazoa; Chordata; Actinopteri; Pomacentridae. The transcript has 4 exons.